UGGGGAAUAUUGGACAAUGGGCGCAAGCCUGAUCCAGCCAUGCCGCGUGAGUGAUGAAGGCCCUAGGGUUGUAAAGCUCUUUCACCGGUGAAGAUAAUGACGGUAACCGGAGAAGAAGCCCCGGCUAACUUCGUGCCAGCAGCCGCGGUAAUACGAAGGGGGCUAGCGUUGUUCGGAUUUACUGGGCGUAAAGCGCACGUAGGCGGACUUUUAAGUCAGGGGUGAAAUCCCGGGGCUCAACCCCGGAACUGCCUUUGAUACUGGAAGUAUUGAGUAUGGUAGAGGGGAGUGGAAUUCCGAGUGUAGAGGUGAAAUUCGUAGAUAUUCGGAGGAACACCAGUGGCGAAGGCGGCUCACUGGACCAUUACUGACGCUGAGGUGCGAAAGCGUGGGGAGCAAACAGG
RNAcentral lists this ribosomal RNA (404 nucleotides) under Actinomycetes bacterium. Its description in RNAcentral is "Actinobacteria bacterium partial 16S ribosomal RNA". It matches the Rfam family "Bacterial small subunit ribosomal RNA", at positions 355 to 776 of the family's 1533-position model. Lineage: Bacteria; Bacillati; Actinomycetota; Actinomycetes. The record is from RNAcentral.